AACCUUAUGGACCUGCGGGCGUAUACCUGCGGAAGGAUCAUUAAAAAACUUUGCCCGCGGACCCUGGGUCCAAGGCGCAAAACCCACACUAUGUGCACUGUUAUCGUUCUUUUGGCAGGGGCUUGGGGUAUCUUCCAACUUGGGGAACCUCAACUUCUCGUCUAGCUCUAUCCACCUCGGACAGCUGGACAUGAGAAGCAGUUACUCUGCCAAGUGACCCUUAAAAACACGCUUUUUGUC
RNAcentral lists this unclassified non-coding RNA (240 nucleotides) under soil metagenome. Its description in RNAcentral is "partial contains 5.8S ribosomal RNA, internal transcribed spacer 2, and large subunit ribosomal RNA". The record is from RNAcentral.